RNAcentral lists this ribosomal RNA (109 nucleotides) under Bacillus sp. AFS040349. Lineage: Bacteria; Bacillati; Bacillota; Bacilli; Caryophanales; Bacillaceae. The record is from RNAcentral.
AUGAUGGCGAAGAGGUCACACCCGUUCCCAUGCCGAACACGGAAUUUAAGCCCUUCAGCGCCUAUGGUAGUUGGGGGUUUCCCCCUGUGAGAGUAGGACGUCGCCAAGU